ACUCAAAGGAAUAGACGGGGACCCGCACAAGCAGUGGAGCAUGUGGUUUAAUUCGAUGCUACGCGAAAAACCUUACCAACCCUUGAAUCUCGAUGACAGGUACAGAGAUGUACCCUCGGAGCAAUCCGCAUUGAAGACAGGUGUUGCAUGGCUGUCGUCAGCUCGUGUCGUGAGAUGUUAGGUUAAGUCCUUAAACGAGCGCAACCCUCAUCCUUAUUUGCCAUCGGGUUAUGCCGGGAACUAUAAGGAAACUGCCAGCGACAAGCUGGAGGAAGGUGGGGACGAUGUCAAGUCAUCAUGGCCCUUAUGGGUUGGGCUACACACAUGCUACAAUGGUGGUUACAGCGGGAAGCGAAAGAGCAAUCUGGAGCAAAUCCUAUAAAAGCCAUCUCAGUUCAGAUUGGGGGCUGCAACUCGCCCCCAUGAAGUUGGAAUUGCUAGUAAUCGUAGAUCAGCACGCUACGGUGAAUACGUUCUCGGGUCUUGUACACACCGCCCGU
This 500-nucleotide ribosomal RNA is filed under the name uncultured bacterium. RNAcentral describes it as "partial 16S ribosomal RNA". It matches the Rfam family "Bacterial small subunit ribosomal RNA", at positions 899 to 1397 of the family's 1533-position model. The record is from RNAcentral.